Molecule: ribosomal RNA, 448 nt
Filed under: uncultured bacterium
Lineage: Bacteria
Description: bacterial SSU rRNA
Rfam family: Bacterial small subunit ribosomal RNA
Source: RNAcentral
GCCAGACUCCUACGGGAGGCAGCAGUGGGGGAUAUUGCACAAUGGGGGGAACCCUGAUGCAGCGACGCCGCGUGGGUGAAGGAGCGUUUCGGCGCGUAAAGCCCUAUCGGCAGGGAAGAAGGAGGACGGUACCUGACUAAGAAGCCCCGGCUAACUACGUGCCAGCAGCCGCGGUAAUACGUAGGGGGCAAGCGUUAUCCGGAUUUACUGGGUGUAAAGGGGGCGCAGACGGCAGCGCAAGCCAGGAGUGAAAGCCCGGGGCCCAACCCCGGGACUGCUCUUGGAACUGCGCGGCUGGAGUGCGGGAGGGGCAGGCGGAAUUCCUGGUGUAGCGGUGAAAUGCGUAGAUAUCAGGAGGAACACCGGUGGCGAAGGCGGCCUGCUGGACUGCGACUGACGUUGAGGCCCGAAAGCGUGGGGAGCAAACAGGAUUAGAUACCCCUGUACG